This is a long non-coding RNA of Dendrobium catenatum, 934 nucleotides long. RefSeq lists it as uncharacterized. The transcript is spliced from 3 exons. The record is from RefSeq and is a predicted model, not a curated record. NCBI's taxonomy places the organism in Eukaryota, Viridiplantae, Streptophyta, Magnoliopsida, Asparagales, Orchidaceae.
UUUAAUAAUUAAUCAAUGUUUGGAAGAAAAUUUUUUCCCUUAGUUUCCGUCCGUUUAAGUUAUUUAAUUUAAUUUCUUCAUUCUUCUCAACGUUUUAUUAAUUCAUGUAUUAAUGUUUCGUGCAGGUCUAAACCUAUCCGACUUUGCCUCUUCGUCUUCGUGCUGUCGUCCCUAAAUAUCACCUUCACCUUUUUGUCUUUGCGUCGUCGUCCAUAAUCUUCGGAUUGCCCUAGCUGACUCCACUCGCCGUUAGGAUACUUUCUUCAAUUAAUGCGGUCUUCUGAAAUUCUUCAACAUCUAGCUGCCUCUGCUCGCCGUCAUCUCCUCCGUCUCCUGGAAUGCUUCAACCUUUUUUCACUAUUUGGAUGCAUGAAGAUGAAUUCAACCGUCGAAACAUUUCAACCUCCGACCUUUCGGUUCCUGUAAGAUGACUGUCGCAUGUUGUCUUUCUUCCUUAUAUAUAUAAUUGGUAAAAUUAUUAUCACAUGUUUUUUUCUUUAGCGCUUUCGUGAUUUGGUUUUCGUUUCUGGAUCUCUACUCUUUUUGCUUUAAAGAAUCUCUACUUCAAAUUUAGGUAAUUAUUUUUAUGACGAAAAUCAUUUAUUAAUUUCGUCUAUUUAAUUAUUGAUUUUCUGCUAUGUGCUUAAGCUUUGUGCUCUGGCUUUUAUGUUCAUGUCUUCAAUUUCCAUGACUGGUCCUUAACCUAGGAAAAGUUUCAAGCCUUCUUGUUAGUUUACGGCAUUAAAUGUUUGUCAAUAUUUAAAGAUCACGAAAGCAUGAGGUCUUUGCACUGUAUAUUGAGAUUGGGAAUUGAAGCCAAAAGAAAAAUAGGUGAAAUCAUUAAGCAUUGCAAGGUUUCUUCAAUUACACAACCGAUAAAUAAUCUAACAGAUUGAGAAUGAUGAUAUACAUCCAAAUGCAUCCAACUAACAGA